UACAUAAAUAUGUAUCAACCACAGAACUGACACUUACUAGCAGUUCCCACUCAAUACCAGUUAACUCACUGUACAAGACUCUCCCCUUCACUUCACUCUACUGCAGGGUGAGAGAUGCAACAAUGGCCUUCAGAACAGCAGGAAGUGUGCUGGUGGUCUUUCUCUGGUCUGUAGCAGUGAUUCUGGGUCAGAAUAGCAGGAUUGUGACCUACACCAAGAAACGUUUCUGUACCUUGAAGGGGUCAACAGUGGAUCUAUCCUGCUCUUACACAUAUCCCAGAGGUCAUACAGUCACAGCAACCACAUGGUAUAAAUGGAAGAGUUUGACGUGGACUCACAUCCCAGAUAAAUAUGAGGAUCGUAUAGAGUACCGUGGGAAUAAGGAGAAUGACUGCACCCUGAGAAUCACAGACCUGAGAGAGGAGGAUUCAGCAUCAUAUUACUUCUCAUUUUCAACAGGCUCAUUGACAUCUGGC
This is a long non-coding RNA of Oncorhynchus masou masou (cherry salmon), 476 nucleotides long. RefSeq lists it as uncharacterized. The record is from RefSeq and is a predicted model, not a curated record. The transcript is spliced from 3 exons. NCBI's taxonomy places the organism in Eukaryota, Metazoa, Chordata, Actinopteri, Salmoniformes, Salmonidae.